Molecule: long non-coding RNA, 272 nt
Filed under: Ananas comosus (pineapple)
Lineage: Eukaryota; Viridiplantae; Streptophyta; Magnoliopsida; Poales; Bromeliaceae
Description: long non-coding RNA (ACOM_LNC028058)
Source: RNAcentral
CUCUCUCUCUAGGAUUUUUCUCUCUCUACAAAGAAUUCGACGAUUUCGCUCGUUUUCGUCGCCUCGCUCGAUCUUCGCUGGUUGCGGGUGUCACAGAGCUCACGUGGACGUGUGAGAGAGUAUUUUGGAGAGCUUUUCGCAGCUCUGAACCAGUGAGGUGCUGGUUGGAAGCUUGAGAAGGUAAACGACUUGAUUUUCUCUAUUAUCAACGUUCUAUUAGUCGAUUAUGUGUUGCUUUUGAAGUUUUUGCUUCCAACUGACUUAAACUGAGA